RNAcentral lists this small nuclear RNA (103 nucleotides) under Saimiri boliviensis boliviensis (Bolivian squirrel monkey). Lineage: Eukaryota; Metazoa; Chordata; Mammalia; Primates; Cebidae. The record is from RNAcentral.
GUGCUCACUUCAGCAGCACAUAUACUAAAAUUGGAACUAUACACAGAUUAGCAUGGUCCCUGUACAGGAUGACACACAAAUUCAUGAAGCGUUCCAUAUUUAA